UCUUGGCCUGAAAUCAGAUGGGACUACCCG
Molecule: ribosomal RNA, 30 nt
Filed under: Cunninghamella bertholletiae
Lineage: Eukaryota; Fungi; Mucoromycota; Mucoromycetes; Mucorales; Cunninghamellaceae
Description: partial 28S ribosomal RNA
Source: RNAcentral